RNAcentral lists this ribosomal RNA (468 nucleotides) under uncultured bacterium. RNAcentral describes it as "partial 16S ribosomal RNA". It matches the Rfam family "Bacterial small subunit ribosomal RNA", at positions 28 to 507 of the family's 1533-position model. The record is from RNAcentral.
GACGAACGCUGGCGGCGUGCUUAACACAUGCAAGUCGAACGGAAAGGCCCUGCUUUUGUGGGGUGCUCGAGUGGCGAACGGGUGAGUAACACGUGAGUAACCUGCCCUUGACUUUGGGAUAACUUCAGGAAACUGGGGCUAAUACCGGAUAGGAGCUCCUGCUGCAUGGUGGGGGUUGGAAAGUUUCGGCGGUUGGGGCUGGACUCGCGGCUUAUCAGCUUGUUGGUGGGGUAGUGGCUUACCAAGGCUGUGACGGGUAGCCGGCCGGCGAGGGUGACCGGCCACAUUGGGACUGAGAUACGGCCCAGCCUCCUACGGGAGGCAGCAGUGGGGAAUAUUGCACAAUGGGCGGAAGCCUGAUGCAGCAACGCCGCGUGCGGGAUGACGGCCUUCGGGUUGUAAACCGCUUUCGCCUGUGACGAAGCGUGAGUGACGGUAAUGGGUAAAGAAGCACCGGCUAACUACGUG